This 276-nucleotide ribosomal RNA is filed under the name uncultured bacterium. RNAcentral's name for it is "partial 16S ribosomal RNA". It matches the Rfam family "Bacterial small subunit ribosomal RNA", at positions 123 to 406 of the family's 1533-position model. The record is from RNAcentral.
AAUCUUCCCUUUAGAGUGGUAUAACCUUUGGAAACGAUGGUUAAUCCCGCAUACGAGAGUAAUCUUGAAAGAUACAGCAAUGUGUCGCUAAAGGAUGAGCUUGCGUCUGAUUAGCUAGUUGGUGAGGUAAUGGCUCACCAAGGCGAUGAUCAGUAGCUGGUUUGAGAGAACGACUAGCCACACUGGGACUGAGACACGGCCCAGACUCCUACGGGAGGCAGCAGUGGGGAAUUUUUCGCAAUGGGCGCAAGCCUGACGGAGCAAUACUGCGUGGAG